GAUGAAGAACGCAGCGAAAUGCGAUAAGUAAUGUGAAUUGCAGAAUUCAGUGAAUCAUCGAAUCUUUGAACGCACAUUGCGCCCCUUGGUAUUCCGAGGGGCAUGCCUGUUCGAGCGUCAUUAUAACCCCUCAAGCUCAGCUUGGUGUUGGGGCCUGCUGCACUGGCAGCCCUUAAAAUCAGUGGCGGCGCCAUCUGGCUCUAAGCGUAGUACUUCUUCUCGCUAUGGAGUCCUGGUGGAUGCUUGCCAUCAACCCCCAAUUUUUCUAUGGUUGACCUCGGAUCAGGUAGGGAUACCCGCUGAACUUAAGCAUAUCAAUAAGCGGAGGA
This 329-nucleotide unclassified non-coding RNA is filed under the name soil metagenome. Its description in RNAcentral is "partial contains 5.8S ribosomal RNA, internal transcribed spacer 2, and large subunit ribosomal RNA". The stretch from base 1 to 120 matches the Rfam family "5.8S ribosomal RNA", at positions 35 to 154 of the family's 154-position model. The record is from RNAcentral.